RNAcentral lists this ribosomal RNA (253 nucleotides) under uncultured prokaryote. RNAcentral describes it as "partial 16S ribosomal RNA". It matches the Rfam family "Bacterial small subunit ribosomal RNA", at positions 525 to 777 of the family's 1533-position model. The record is from RNAcentral.
ACGUAGGGGGCAAGCGUUGUCCGGAAUCAUUGGGCGUAAAGAGCGCGUAGGCGGUCCGGUAAGUCGGUUGUGAAAACUGGGGGCUCAACCCUCAGAGGCCGACCGAUACUGUCGGGCUAGAGUCCGGAAGAGGCGAGUGGAAUUCCUGGUGUAGCGGUGAAAUGCGCAGAUAUCAGGAGGAAUACCGAUGGCGAAGGCAGGUCUCUGGGCUGACACUGACGCUCAUGCACGAAAGCGUGGGGAGCAAACAGGA